RNAcentral lists this small RNA (790 nucleotides) under Pan troglodytes (chimpanzee). RNAcentral's name for it is "processed transcript". The record is from RNAcentral. Lineage: Eukaryota; Metazoa; Chordata; Mammalia; Primates; Hominidae.
GCAAGCCUGAAAUAGCAUGUGAAAACCCACAUUGUACAGUAGUACCUUUGAAGCAGCCUACUCUACACAUUGCAGACAAAGAUCCAAUCCCAGAGGAGCAGGAAUUAGAAGCUUAUGUAGAUGAUAUAGAUAUUGAUAGUGAUUUCAGAAAGGAUGAUUUUUAUUACUUGUCUCAAGAAGACAAAGAGAGACAGAAGCGUGAGCAUGAAGAAUCCAAGAGGGUGCUCCAAGAAUUAAAAUCUGUGCUGGGAUUUAAAGCUUCAGAGGCAGAAAGGCAGAAGUGGAAGCAACUUCUAUUUAGUGAUCAUGUGUUUUCUUCAUAUAGCUUUAAAAUUAUGCUAUUGACAUUAUGGGAAAGAUUUAUCAAUGAGAGAAAUGUGUCUCUUUUUCAGCCGUGUUGAAAUCCUUGUCUCCUGUAGACCCAGUGGAACCCAUAAGUAAUUCAGAACCAUCAAUGAAUUCAGAUAUGGGAAAAGUCAGUAAAAAUGAUACUGAAGAGGAAAGUAGUAAAUCCGCCACAACAGACAAUGAAAUAAGUAGGACUGAGUAUUUAUGUGAAAACUCUCUAGAAGGUAAAAAUAAAGAUAAUUCUUCAAAUGAAGUCUUCCCCCAAGGAGCAGAAGAAAGAAUGUGUUACCAAUGUGAGAGUGAAGAUGAACCGCAAGCAGAUGGAAGUGGUCUGACCACUGCCCCUCCAACUCCCAGGGACUCAUUACAGCCCUCCAUUAAGCAGAGGCUGGCACGGCUACAGCUGUCACCAGAUUUUACCUUCACUGCUGGCCUUGCUGCA